GUGAGGAAUAUUGGACAAUGGGCGCAAGCCUGAUCCAGCCAUGCCGCGUGCAGGAAGACGCAUCUAUGGUGUGUAAACUGCUUUUGUACGGGAAGAAACACUCCCUCGUGAGGGAGCUUGUCGGUACCGUAAGAAUAAGGAUCGGCUAACUCCGUGCCAGCAGCCGCGGUAAUACGGAGGAUCCAAGCGUUAUCCGGAAUCAUUGGGUUUAAAGGGUCCGUAGGCGGUUUAAUAAGUCAGUGGUGAAAGCCCAUCGCUCAACGAUGGAACGGCCAUUGAUACUGUUAGACUUGAAUUACAAGGAAGUAACUAGAAUAUGUAGUGUAGCGGUGAAAUGCUUAGAUAUUACAUGGAAUACCAAUUGCGAAGGCAGGUUACUACUUGUGGAUUGACGCUGAUGGACGAAAGCGUGGGGAGCGAACAGGAUUAGAUACCCCAGUAGUCC
Molecule: ribosomal RNA, 445 nt
Filed under: uncultured bacterium
Lineage: Bacteria
Description: partial 16S ribosomal RNA
Rfam family: Bacterial small subunit ribosomal RNA
Source: RNAcentral